This 583-nucleotide ribosomal RNA is filed under the name Aureobasidium namibiae. RNAcentral describes it as "eukaryotic LSU rRNA". It matches the Rfam family "Eukaryotic large subunit ribosomal RNA", at positions 67 to 669 of the family's 3401-position model. Lineage: Eukaryota; Fungi; Ascomycota; Dothideomycetes; Dothideales; Saccotheciaceae. The record is from RNAcentral.
CACUGGCAUGCCUAGUACGGCGAGUGAGCGGCAACAGCUCAAAUUUGAAAGCUAGCCUUCGGGUUCGCAUUGUAAUUUGUAGAGGAUGCUUUGGGUAAAACGCCAGUCUAAGUUCCUUGGAACAGGACGUCAUAGAGGGUGAGAAUCCCGUAUGUGACUGGAAAUGUUAACCUAUGUAAAGCUCCUUCGACGAGUCGAGUUGUUUGGGAAUGCAGCUCUAAAUGGGAGGUAAAUUUCUUCUAAAGCUAAAUAUUGGCGAGAGACCGAUAGCGCACAAGUAGAGUGAUCGAAAGAUGAAAAGCACUUUGGAAAGAGAGUUAAAAAGCACGUGAAAUUGUUGAAAGGGAAGCGCUUGCAAUCAGACUUGUUUAAACUGUUCGGCCGGUCUUCUGACCGGUUUACUCAGUUUGGACAGGCCAGCAUCAGUUUCGGCGGCCGGAUAAAGGCUCUGGGAAUGUGGCCUCCACUUCGGUGGAGGUGUUAUAGCCCAGUGUGUAAUACGGCCAGCCGGGACUGAGGUCCGCGCUUCGGCUAGGAUGCUGGCGUAAUGGUUGUAAGCGACCCGUCUUGAACACCGGACACA